This 495-nucleotide ribosomal RNA is filed under the name uncultured bacterium. RNAcentral describes it as "partial 16S ribosomal RNA". It matches the Rfam family "Bacterial small subunit ribosomal RNA", at positions 28 to 507 of the family's 1533-position model. The record is from RNAcentral.
GACGAACGCUGGCGGCGUGCCUAAUACAUGCAAGUAGAACGCUGAAGGAGGAGCUUGCUCUUCUGGAUGAGUUGCGAACGGGUGAGUAACGCGUAGGUAACCUGCCUGGUAGCGGGGGAUAACUAUUGGAAACGAUAGCUAAUACCGCAUAACAGUAGAUGUUGCAUGACAUUUGCUUAAAAGGUGCAAUUGCACCACUACCAGAUGGACCUGCGUUGUAUUAGCUAGUUGGUGGGGUAACGGCUCACCAAGGCGACGAUACAUAGCCGACCUGAGAGGGUGAUCGGCCACACUGGGACUGAGACACGGCCCAGACUCCUACGCGAGGCAGCAGUAGGGAAUCUUCGGCAAUGGACGGAAGUCUGACCGAGCAACGCCGCGUGAGUGAAGAAGGUUUUCGGAUCGUAAAGCUCUGUUGUAAGAGAAGAGCGAGUGUGAGAGUGGAAAGUUCACACUGUGACGGUAUCUUACCAGAAAGGGACGGCUAACUACGUG